CCUACGGGUGGCAGCAGUGGGGAAUAUUGCACAAUGGGCGGAACCCUGAUGCAGCGACGCCGCGUGGGUGAGGAAGUACUUCGGAACGUAAAGCCCUAUCAGCAGGGAAGAAAAUGAGGGUAACUGACUAAGAAGCCCCGGCUAACUACGAGCCAGCAGCCGCGGUAAUACGUAGGGGGCAAGCGUUAUCCGGAUGUACUGGGGGAAAAGGGAGCGUAGACGGCGUGCCAAGUCUGAUGUGAAAGGCGGCGGCUUAACCCGGGGACUGCAUUGGAAACUGGGAUGCUGGAGUGCCGGAGGGGAGAGUGGAAUUCCUAGUGUAGCGGUGAAAUGCGUAGAUAUUAGGAGGAACACCGGUGGCGAAGGCGGCUUGCUGGACUGUAACUGACGUUGAGGCUCGAAAGCGUGGGGAGCAAACAGGAUUAGAUACCCUAGUAGUC
Molecule: ribosomal RNA, 440 nt
Filed under: uncultured bacterium
Lineage: Bacteria
Description: partial 16S ribosomal RNA
Rfam family: Bacterial small subunit ribosomal RNA
Source: RNAcentral